GACGAACGCUGGCGGCGUGCCUAAUACAUGCAAGUAGAACGCUGAAGGAGGAGCUUGCUCUUCCGGAUGAGUUGCGAACGGGUGAGUAACGCGUAGGUAACCUGCCUGGUAGCGGGGGAUAACUAUUGGAAACGAUAGCUAAUACCGCAUAACAGUAGAUGUUGCAUGACAUUUGCUUAAAAGGUGCAAUUGCAUCACUACCAGAUGGACCUGCGUUGUAUUAGCUAGUUGGUGGGGUAACGGCUCACCAAGGCGACGAUACAUAGCCGACCUGGGAGGGUGAUCGGCCACACUGGGACUGAGAAACGGCCCAGACUCCUACGGGAGGCAGCAGUAGGGAAUCUUCGGCAAUGGACGGAAGUCUGACCGAGCAACGCCGCGUGAGUGAAGAAGGGUUUCGGAUCGGAAAGCUCUGUUGUAAGAGAAGAACGAGUGUGAGAGUGGAAAGUUCACACUGUGACGGUAUCUUACCAGAAAGGGACGGCUAACUACGUG
RNAcentral lists this ribosomal RNA (495 nucleotides) under uncultured bacterium. Its description in RNAcentral is "partial 16S ribosomal RNA". It matches the Rfam family "Bacterial small subunit ribosomal RNA", at positions 28 to 507 of the family's 1533-position model. The record is from RNAcentral.